RNAcentral lists this transfer RNA (74 nucleotides) under Candidatus Amesbacteria bacterium RIFCSPHIGHO2_01_FULL_48_32b. RNAcentral describes it as "tRNA-Gly". It matches the Rfam family "tRNA". From Rfam's summary of the family: Transfer RNA (tRNA) molecules are approximately 80 nucleotides in length. Their secondary structure includes four short double-helical elements and three loops (D, anti-codon, and T loops). RNAcentral also lists the same sequence under 2 other names. The record is from RNAcentral. Lineage: Bacteria; Candidatus Amesiibacteriota.
GCGAGAUUAGUUGAGCGGUCCAACGCCACCUUCCCAAGGUGAAGAGACGGGUUCGACUCCCGUAUCUCGCUCAA